Molecule: ribosomal RNA, 400 nt
Filed under: uncultured bacterium
Lineage: Bacteria
Description: bacterial SSU rRNA
Rfam family: Bacterial small subunit ribosomal RNA
Source: RNAcentral
CAGCCCUUGACAUGGCAGGACGGUUUCCAGAGAUGGAUUCCUUCACUUCGGUGACCUGCACACAGGUGCUGCAUGGCUGUCGUCAGCUCGUGUCGUGAGAUGUUGGGUUAAGUCCCGCAACGAGCGCAACCCUCGCCUUUAGUUGCCAUCAUUUAGUUGGGCACUCUAGAGGGACUGCCGGUGAUAAGCCGGAGGAAGGUGGGGAUGACGUCAAGUCUUCAUGGCCCUUACGGGCUGGGCUACACACGUGCUACAAUGGCGGUGACAGAGGGCAGCUAGUCCGCGAGGACAUGCUAAUCCCAAAAAGCCGUCUCAGUUCGGAUUGCACUCUGCAACUCGAGUGCAUGAAGUUGGAAUCGCUAGUAAUCGUGGAUCAGCACGCCACGGUGAAUACGUUCCC